GGAUUAUGGCUCAGUGGUAGAGCACUUGCCUAGCACGUGCGAGUCCCUGAGUUUGAUCCUCAGCACCA
Molecule: transfer RNA, 68 nt
Filed under: Marmota monax (woodchuck)
Lineage: Eukaryota; Metazoa; Chordata; Mammalia; Rodentia; Sciuridae
Description: tRNA.Ala
Source: RNAcentral